Molecule: long non-coding RNA, 1414 nt
Filed under: Marmota monax (woodchuck)
Lineage: Eukaryota; Metazoa; Chordata; Mammalia; Rodentia; Sciuridae
Source: RNAcentral
GGGGAUGAGCAGGGGUGGACAGCCCCUGCCUCCCCAUGCUCCUGGUCUGAGGCAUGUUGUGUGCGGAUUCUGAAGAGCCUUCAGGACGGAACUCCAGCGGCCCACAGCUGCAGCCCACCGUCCCUGGCUCCUCCACCCGAGACUCACUUCUCCCUUUUGUGCUUCCUGGUACCCCAAAGUCACUGCUUGCUAUCCCAGUGGCCCACGUUUGUGGAUUCGGCUAACCAUGGAUGAAAGAUAUUUUAAAAGUUUGAUCUGAACACGUCCAACCUUUGCUCUCUUGUCCUGUUCCCUAGGAUCCCGGGAAACACCCACAUACACAGAGUCCCCAGCUCAGCCUGGUAGGCGGGCUCUGUCCUCUGUGAGUGCUCCGUGGGGUUCUGAUGUCCUUGGGGUCCUGGAGCCAUCCCUUGCAGAUACUGAGGGACGACUGUGCUUGUGUGCUCUGGACAUGGACUGACGUGGAUGCAGGUGAGACGUUGGGCCUCAGGAUCCAGAGCUGAUGCUGGUAAAAUCUUUCAGGACCCUGGGGUGGCGUGGACGCGCUGUGCAUGUGAAAAGGUCACGGGUUGCAGAGGGUCAGGGCGGGGAGUUACACCUGAGUCUGCGUGUCCCCCCUAAGCUCCUGUGGAUGCCCUGGCCCUCCAUGUGAUGUGCGCACAGGGACCUUGGGAAGUGCCUAGAUUUGGAUGAGGGUGAACCCAGGGAGAGGUCAGCGUCUUUUGGGAAGAGGAAGAGACACUACAGGUCCCGAUUCACAGUCAUUUGUAAGCCAGGCACGGAAGUUGUUGUUCCCUUGAUCUUGGAUUUCCCACCUUCCAGGUGUGAGAGAGACGAUCCUCCUGUGCAAGCCACUUGGCGUAGGGCAUUUUGAGGUGGCCUCCCAGGCUUGACACGGCGUCUGAGUCCUUGUCUGACAGUCCCUGGCCUUCCUCCUGUCCUCGGAAGUCUAAGCCGAGAGUCGCUGGUAACCCAUACGAUGCAGCAGUGAUGUUGGGGUGGUGCGCCCAGACCACCCAGAUUCCCCGGGAGAAGGCCUGGUUCAAGGUGCUGGGAUCCCGACGCCGUGCUGGAGAGGCCACCGUAGCUGCUCUGCCUGCCGAGUGCCCAGCAAGCCCAGGGCAGCUGACCUUCAGGAGCAGCGAGCAGGAGACCCCAGCAAGGACCACCGCCCCUGGCUUCCUGGGGGCUCCCCAGCAGAAUCGCCACAGGAGGGCCUUCCACCACCCAGAGGGGGUCUGACACCGUGGGCGGUGCCACCCCAGGAAUAACGGGCUUUCUAGACGUAGUUCUGAUGAAUUUCAGUUUAUAGAUCGGGCACUGUGAGAGUUGGCCACAAUAAGGAGCAAUGAACUAGAACAGGGACAACAGUUCCCAACUGUUCACUCUAACGCCAGUUACUUAAAACUUCUAC